GGCAGUGUAGUAUAAUGGGUAAGGUACUGGGCUUGUAGCCUAGAGGUCAUAGGUUCGAUUCCUAAUGUUA
Molecule: transfer RNA, 70 nt
Filed under: Anguilla anguilla (European eel)
Lineage: Eukaryota; Metazoa; Chordata; Actinopteri; Anguilliformes; Anguillidae
Description: tRNA-OTHER
Source: RNAcentral